UUUUUUUGAUGCACAGUGAAGUGAGCAGAUUCAAAGCAUUAUACACAUUAACAGCAAUAUUAUAGGAUCAAUUGCGAAAGAGUUGGCCAUUCUCAGCAAAACAGUGAUCCAAGACAAUUACAAAGAAUUCAUGACAAAAAAUGUUAUUCAUCUUCAGAGAAAGAAUGGAUAAAAAGUAUCUUGACACAUGAAGAAUUUUAAGAAAUACUUCCUUCAUCCAAUUCCUCCUGUGCCAGAUUCUGCCAUGGAGAUGGGUUUCUUAAAGACCAUGCCAACAUACUCAAAGUUCUGAGAAGUCCUAUGCAGGACAGAGUACUGGCUCAAGAGUGAAGAAGACCUUUCAAAUUCUGCUGGGUGAUAUCUGGCGUGACCUCAAGCAAAUGACUUUAGUUCCCUGGGCCCUACUUUUCUGCCAGUUCUAGAGCUAUGAGUUUAUGAUCCUCUACAAUAAAAGAAGCAUGUUUUAAUCUUUUUAGUUCUUUCUUUGCCAUUUAUACUACCACAAAGUGCAUAUUUACUUUUUACCCUUGGGCAAAAUCAUUUUACGUAAUCAAGCUACUUAAAUGGGCAUCAUCUGAGUACUUUUAAAUAUGUUAAUGCUCUCAGGUUAUAGGUUACCUACCUUUGGUGUAACUAAGAAAUACUGAGAUGUAGUUUCUUUACAGGCAGUCUUUACAACCAUCUC
Molecule: long non-coding RNA, 685 nt
Organism: Monodelphis domestica (gray short-tailed opossum)
Lineage: Eukaryota; Metazoa; Chordata; Mammalia; Didelphimorphia; Didelphidae
Source: RefSeq, a predicted model, not a curated record